UGACAGUCGAGCGGAUCUUCAUUAGCUUGCUUUUGAAGAUCAGCGGCGGACGGGUGAGUAACACGUGGGCAACCUGCCUGUAAGACUGGGAUAACUUCGGGAAACCGGAGCUAAUACCGGAUAAUCCUUUCCCUCACAUGAGGGAAAGCUGAAAGACGGUUUCGGCUGUCACUUACAGAUGGGCCCGCGGCGCAUUAGCUAGUUGGUGAGGUAACGGCUCACCAAGGCAACGAUGCGUAGCCGACCUGAGAGGGUGAUCGGCCACACUGGGACUGAGACACGGCCCAGACUCCUACGGGAGGCAGCAGUAGGGAAUCUUCCGCAAUGGACGAAAGUCUGACGGAGCAACGCCGCGUGAACGAUGAAGGCUUUCGGGUCGUAAAGUUCUGUUGUUAGGGAAGAACAAGUACCGGAGUAACUGCCGGUACCUUGACGGUACCUAACCAGAAAGCCACGGCUAACUACGUGCCAGCAGCCGCGGUAAUACGUAGGUGGCAAGCGUUGUCCGGAAUUAUUGGGCGUAAAGCGCGCGCAGGCGGUUCCUUAAGUCUGAUGUGAAAGCCCCCGGCUCAACCGGGGAGGGUCAUUGGAAACUGGGGAACUUGAGUGCAGAAGAGGAGAGCGGAAUUCCACGUGUAGCGGUGAAAUGCGUAGAGAUGUGGAGGAACACCAGUGGCGAAGGCGGCUCUCUGGUCUGUAACUGACGCUGAGCGCGAAAGCGUGGGGAGCG
Molecule: ribosomal RNA, 730 nt
Filed under: Bacillus sp. (in: firmicutes)
Lineage: Bacteria; Bacillati; Bacillota; Bacilli; Caryophanales; Bacillaceae
Description: bacterial SSU rRNA
Rfam family: Bacterial small subunit ribosomal RNA
Source: RNAcentral